Molecule: long non-coding RNA, 2286 nt
Organism: Cavia porcellus (domestic guinea pig)
Lineage: Eukaryota; Metazoa; Chordata; Mammalia; Rodentia; Caviidae
Exons: 2
Source: RefSeq, a predicted model, not a curated record
AUGCACCUAUUGACAAAUAAGUAGACUUCUAAAAUGGAAAGUCAUUGCAGCUAUUUAUGACUACAAUAAACAAUUUUAAAAACUACCAUAAAGGCAGAAUGCUUCCAUUUCCUUAGACUCUCAACAUUUUAAAAUUUAUUUAUUUUUGGUACCUGGGAUCAAACUCAAGACCUCGUGUUUGUCAGGCAGGCGCUUAUACUGCUGAGCUAAAUCCUCAGCCCACACCCUCAACUUUUAAUAUUCAUUCCUAAGUAAACAUUCAAUAACACCAAAUUUGAAGAUUUGGACAACUUUAAAGUCAGAUCAGACCCCUGAGAAUAAGCAAACUACUUAAGGAUACUGCGCUGAAGCCGGCUCCAAGUAAGGAUGAUUGUUAUUGUGGUGAUUCAUGUAAGAUGGUUUUCUUUUUCCUUAAUGACCCAAAUUAACAGAGAGUAACAAAGAAAUGGAAAAGUCAGACACUUUGGAUUGUAGAGGAGAAGAAACAGAAGAAAAGGGUGCAGGAAGAACACCAUUAGCAGGAAUGAAGAAGCACCUAAAAGUGGACUCUGUGUGGGCUUUAAUGCCACUCUAAUGGAGCUGAAUCUACAAAGUGGUGGACCAGAACCCACAUGAAACCAGAUCAGACAUUCUGCCAUGAGUGGGAAGCUAAUUGGGCAGAGGUGGGCUAUCUUGUGAACUAAGACAGCCACUGUUUGGGUUGGGAAAAGGAUUUUUAAGGGUUGCUGUUGUUGCUGUGCGUGUGUUGGGGGGUGCUCUUUGGGUGAGCCAGGUGCUAGCAGCAGAUUGUGACAGAGUCCAUUUUCGGGUACAUUCCUAGGCAGAGUUGACUUUUGGGGUUGGAACAGUUCUAGGAAGUUUCUUUUCUUGCAAACCAGCCAUGAACAGGCUCCAGGGACAGGCUGACCCUUCACAAAGUUCUGGAAAAAAGAAUCAGUGAAAGGUUUCCCACCCACAUCACUUGAAAAUGCCUGCUUAAAAACCUCUAAUCACUGUAGAACACUAAUCUUGUCACUGAGCAGCUUGAGUCACAGCAUGGUUUAUAGCAAUUAGAAAUCACUUUAAUUUUUGGAGCAGGAGUGGGAAUGGGGCAAGGGUAGAAAGGAAGUUGGGUCCCCAUCUUACAGACUUGCCCCAUAAAUUCUGUAGAAAUCAGUGAUGCAGAGUUGGAAUUUCCUCCCUCAUAGAAUCAAGGUUACAAUACAGUUAUGUCAGGGACCUGGCCAAGGUCCCCAACUGCCUUUUUGAGAGAUACAGAGAAGAAAGAAAUAAGACAGACAAAUUUAGUGAUGCAUAAAGGAGAGCUCGGAAGUCAGUGUUUCAGGAUGGGCAAAGACAAUGACUCUCCAACCUUGCCACUAUUUAUUGAGCAUAUACAUACAUUUUUAGAGGGGAUUAUGUACUUCUCCUAGAACACGGAGGUGAUUGUGUGGAUUAGUAAAAAGAACAAAGCAUUCUUGCAAGGAUGGGACAAGGGCCAAUAAGGAAAAUGUAGUUUCCCCAGGCAAAACUUUUACUACUGCUACUAUAUUGCUUUGAAAAUUCCUGUUGUCCUCAGCAUGUUUUACCUUGCCCUGUGCAUACCACAGCGUCACUAGCUGUAGGCCUUCAGCUGUGAUCAGGAUAAAGUGGGAAGUUUCCGCAUUCUGGCUUACAAGGCAGUACAAGGAUGGCCUUUGACAUCCGCUGGACUCAAUUUAUAAUUUGUGGUCCCCAGCACAGUAAAUCUGUAAAGACAACUUUACAAACAAAAGCUAGUUAUAUUUUUAAAAUGUGUAUUGCAAAUGAUGCUCUUUCUGUGAAAAAUUGGUUGAGUGGAAAAAUCAGGGCUGUAUACACAUAGUCUUUGUCUCCACUGCCACUAGACUGUCCCAAACGUUCCUACAUGAAUUUGGAAAUAAGCACCUUCUCUCAUAUCCUCUCCCCAAGCUAUUUCAGCACAGGAGACUUGCUUUAGUGACAACAAAACCCCUUUUACUCUCCCUCUCUGCACAGCUGUGGCAGGAGCAGGGCCUCUAUGGGGAUCUUCUUGCAGGAAAAUGUCUUAAGGUUUCUGUGAUUCCAGAAUAAAAAAAAAAUGCAGAAAAAAAUGUCUUUGCAGCAGCUGUGACAUUGAGAAAAAGCAAUGGAUGCUUGGAGCUGAAUUAAUUUCCAUUUCAUUUGUCAGUUCUUUUCUGUGUGACCUGGGAGACUGGACCUCUCUGAAUAUGAAUUUCUUCCUUUAAAAAAAAAGAGUAAAAGUUUAUCUCAUGUUGUUCUUUAAAUAAACUUUUCUGAAAUUACUAA